GUGCCAUUCAGUUCUCGCGGAAUGACAAAGAAAUUAGAGGAGACUUUUUGGUGUAAACCCAUUCCAAAAUGAGGUAUGAAAGAAUGAAACAUUAAAGCGAAGGAGUUCAAAAUGCUGGCCUCCUGCUUGUUCGCAAGCCGCUACUCUAUUGAGGAAAGACCUCCGAACACGUUGUAAAAGUUCAGGCGAAACAUUAUGGAUUGAGUCGGUUAUGCGUUCCUGUAGCUCUUCCAGGGUGUAAAAAGCUGUCGCGCAGCACCCCAUAAAAAAAGUCUAAAAGAGUCAUGUCCGGACUACGGGGUGGCUAAGCAUUAACGGCCCCUCUACCAAUCCACUGCUGAUUAUAAAUAUGGUCUAGGUACUGCCUAACAUGUCUAUGGUAAUGUGGUGGUGCCCCAUCAUGUUGAAACCACAAACCACGAUAGACAGCCAAUGAUUUCACCCGUCAAAUUUUCUUGGAAGAAAAAAGGCUCAAUUAUCCGAUCUCCGAAGAUGCCACACCAAACGUUCACCGAAACAAUUCGUUGAAAAUAAAUGUGUUUCACGUAUUCACAGUGGAUUUUCCUGAGCAUAGUAGUGGCAGUUGUGCUUGUCAACACUACCAUUGUUAGAAAAUUUGGCUUCAUCACUGAAUAAAAUUUUUUGAAUUAAA
Tribolium madens (black flour beetle) is the source of this 652-nucleotide long non-coding RNA. RefSeq lists it as uncharacterized. The record is from RefSeq and is a predicted model, not a curated record. The transcript is spliced from 3 exons. NCBI's taxonomy places the organism in Eukaryota, Metazoa, Arthropoda, Insecta, Coleoptera, Tenebrionidae.